ACAUGCAAGUCGAGCGCGGGAAGCAAGCUGAUCUCCUUCGGGAGUGACGCUUGUGGAACGAGCGGCGGACGGGUGAGUAACACGUGGGUAACCUGCCUGUAAGAUCGGAAUAACUCCGGGAAACCGGAGCUAAUGCCGGGUAACAUGUUCUUCCGCAUGGAGGAACAUUAAAAGAUGGCUUCUUGCUAUCACUUACAGAUGGACCCGCGGCGCAUUAGCUAGUUGGUGAGGUAACGGCUCACCAAGGCGACGAUGCGUAGCCGACCUGAGAGGGUGAUCGGCCACACUGGGACUGAGACACGGCCCAGACUCCUACGGGAGGCAGCAGUAGGGAAUCUUCCGCAAUGGACGAAAGUCUGACGGAGCAACGCCGCGUGAACGAUGAAGGUCUUCGGAUCGUAAAGUUCUGUUGUUAGGGAAGAACAAGUACCGUUCAAACAGGGCGGUACCUUGACGGUACCUAACGAGGAAGCCCCGGCUAACUACGUGCCAGCAGCCGCGGUAAUACGUAGGGGGCAAGCGUUGUCCGGAAUUAUUGGGCGUAAAGCGCGCGCAGGCGG
This 560-nucleotide ribosomal RNA is filed under the name Halobacillus sp. 6-15. RNAcentral describes it as "bacterial SSU rRNA". It matches the Rfam family "Bacterial small subunit ribosomal RNA", at positions 53 to 578 of the family's 1533-position model. Lineage: Bacteria; Bacillati; Bacillota; Bacilli; Caryophanales; Bacillaceae. The record is from RNAcentral.